RNAcentral lists this ribosomal RNA (465 nucleotides) under uncultured bacterium. Its description in RNAcentral is "partial 16S ribosomal RNA". It matches the Rfam family "Bacterial small subunit ribosomal RNA", at positions 28 to 507 of the family's 1533-position model. The record is from RNAcentral.
GACGAACGCUGGCGGCGUGCUUAACACAUGCAAGUCGAACGGAAAGGCCCCUUUGGGGGUACUCGAGUGGCGAACGGGUGAGUAACACGUGAGUAACCUGCCCUUGACUUCGGGAUAACUUCAGGAAACUGGGGCUAAUACCGGAUAGGAAUCCUUGCUGCAUGGUGGGGGUUGGAAAGCUUCGGCGGUUUUGGAUGGACUCGCGGCUUAUCAGCUUGUUGGUGGGGUAGUGGCUUACCAAGGCUUUGACGGGUAGCCGGCCUGAGAGGGCGACCGGCCACAUUGGGACUGAGAUACGGCCCAGAAUCCUACGGGAGGCAGCAGUGGGGAAUAUUGCACAAUGGGAGGAAGCCUGAGGCAGCAACGCCGCGUGCGGGAUGACGGCCUUCGGGUUGUAAACCGCUUUCAGCAGGGGAGAAGAUUGUGGUGACGGUACCUGCAGAAGAAGCACCGGCUAACUACGUG